Non-coding RNA from Paramuricea clavata, 1942 nucleotides. The record is from the annotation of a GenBank genome assembly. NCBI's taxonomy places the organism in Eukaryota, Metazoa, Cnidaria, Anthozoa, Malacalcyonacea, Plexauridae.
CUUUUAUUUUUAAACUUUUAUUUUCAAACUUUUAUUUUCAAACUUUUAUUUUUAAACUUUUAUUUUUAAACUUUUAUUUUUAAACUUUUAUUUUCAAACUUUUAUUUUCAAACUUUUAUUUUCAAACUUUUAUUUUUAAACUUUUAUUUUCAAACUUUUAUUUUCAAACUUUUAUUUUCAAACUUGAACAGGAAUAUAAAGUCUGGACAAGAGUAUUAGCGUAUAAAUAAAUAAAUAAAUAAGGGAGUACAUUUAUUAUGCUGAGGGGUGGGAGAGGGGGGUGAAGAUGUUAAGGGGGGCAUCGAAAUAUUCUCUGGCAAUCUGGCAUUAAACGGGGGGCUCGAUAUACUGACGGUGGGGGGGGGGGAGCUCUAAACUUUUCAAAGUUUUGGUCCAGCAGGGGUCUGGAGUGUUCACUCCCACAUAGUUAAUGGAAUAGAUGGUUUGAAAACUCCCCCUACUGUGAAAUUCAGGCAAAUAUAUGUAAAAUUCAAGUUAAAAUUUUGACAUUUUCAGGUAAAAUUUGCGUAAUAAAGUAAUUAUUUUUGUGAAAUGAUAACCAUUUUUGUAAAAUACAGUCAAUUUGCAUGAAAUUUGUUUGCGAAUUUGCUUUAAAACACGCCAGAAAUUCAGUCGUAGAAUGUAAACAUUUUCUGGGGGAGGACCCCCAGACCCCCUUUUUCUCCCGAAACUUAAUAUGAGAGUGCCAAUCAAUCACAAAAAGCUUUAUUAUUAUUAUUACAUGUAUAAUCCCCCAACAUCCCCCCCCCCCAAACGUCAGAUGCUUUGCUAGGUCCCUGAUGGUUGUAUUCGAAACCGAUUUCAGUUUCAAGAUAUCCUUAGUCUGCUCUUCUAUAAAUGGAUACAUGAAAUCACCUAUAGCUCACUUAAAUUUUUUUGGCACCAAUCUAAAAUGUUUUUUUUUAAAGGGUGCCAUUUAAUCUGGCGCUAGUGAGGUGAAAGAAGCAGUAGGUCGGUAUUUUAGUUGAGGAGAAGUACAUGCUUGAGUAUAUCAGACAUUUUGAGGAGCUGCAAAUUGUAUAUAUGAUGCCUACGAUAAGAGAGAAUUCCGGAUUGUACUGCUUCGAUUCCGAAUUCUGGAGGGGGGGCAUUGAAAAUUUUAGAAACUUGGAGGGGGGCAUCGGAAAUUUACCAAUAAUCUCAACAGGGGCCCUGUAAAAAUAUGAGCUUUUUUUCAAGACAUAUCCAUCUGCCCCCCCCCCCCUCGCCAUAAUAAAUGUAAUUUCCCUAAACAGUGAUCAUGUAUAUAUAUUGUAGUAUAAACUUGAUAUAUGUACAAUAAAGUAUUCUAAACCAGAAUGCGGUGCACCACACACGUCGAUUGGACAACUAGUAGCUUAAGAAAAGUUUUCCCGUAAUACCAUAACGCAAUGGCACGUUUUUGACCAAAUUUUUUUAAAAAAAACAUCGAAAUCUCUAAACAAGAAGGGCACCUUUGAUGUUAAUUUAGUAUUUACAGAGACAUUAGCUUGUACAAAAAGGGCACUUUUCAUCACAAAAAGGGACACUUUUCGUCCUUUGAAACAAUUUGGGAGGGAGGGCACGCGCUCCCUCUGCCCCCCUCUUCCUACGCCCCUGAUUCUAAGACCACUUGAUCCCGAGAUUGAAGGCUUUAUGUAGAUGAACAUUUCGAGUGGAAGAUUCAUAUAUAUUUAAUUUAGACCUAUAACCAGCUGCGGAAAAUAGAACUAUAGCAGGAAUCGAACCUACGGCCCCGCAAUUCCGUUGCAGUGCUCUAACCAACUGAGUUAUAGAGUUCAGUUGUCGAGCUCCAACCACAAGUUCUUGUUUAUAUAACAGUAUAUAUAUAGUACAGGUGAUGCCAUUAUAUAAAAUAUGAACAGAUUGAAAGAUUUAUGUAGGAUGGAAAUUUCAAGCACAAAUUUCAAGAAAAAUCCCAAGCGCAAAUUGAGAUUUACAG